Long non-coding RNA from Rhinopithecus roxellana (golden snub-nosed monkey), 1502 nucleotides. RefSeq lists it as uncharacterized. Lineage: Eukaryota; Metazoa; Chordata; Mammalia; Primates; Cercopithecidae. The record is from RefSeq and is a predicted model, not a curated record. The transcript has 3 exons.
UUUUUGCGAAUUAAAAGCCAUUACUUGAAGAAGGGUGUCCAGGAUCCAUCUGGCCGCGGAAAGGUCUCCGCAACACAGACUAAGGACCUGCUUCUUUGGGAGAGAACAGACACCGGGGCGGGAGGAAAAAAGGGAGAGGCAGACGUCACUUCCCCUUGCCGGCUCCUGCAGCGGAUUGGUCGGCUGAGUGACAGAAAGGCAGACGAGGACUCGGAAAGGCACUGUCGGUGACAUCACGGGUAGGGCGACCUUCUAUGUAGAUGAGGUAGCGCAGGGACUGCUGCUUGGCCACCUGCUGCUUCGCCACGAAGGAGUUUCCAUGCCCUGGAGCGGGUUGAGGACCGCUGGUCGGACCUGAGAAUCCCAGCUGUGUGUCAGGGCUAGAAGGGCUCGGGAGUGCGCGUGGCAAGUGACCUUUGCGUGGGUGUGCAAGUGUUAUCUUCACAGCGGACGAUAUGGGAAUGGAAAGCAACACGUGGAUUCUCUCUUUCCCAGAGAAUAUAAAAAACUAACGUAAGGUAAGGACGAAGGUCUGGAGAUGGCUGCGCAAGAGAUGACAAAGUCCAACACCACGCUUGAGAGUGUCCAAUCAUCUCUUCUGGGGCAGCGUCUUUUUCUACAGUACUGAAUUGGGAAAACAAGCAACAAGAUUCAUGAAACUGGACAACUGUCUUUAUAACAUUACCAGUGAUAAAGCCAGUAAGGAAGGCUGGUUUGCAGUCAUCCAACCUGCCUCUUUACUUUCAUAAAUAUGGUUUCUCUCUGAUAUUAAAGGGCUUCCCAUUUCAAGCGGAAUGCUACAUCACAAGGAUAAGGAUGUGAAGAGAACCGGUUUCUUUUGUAAUCCUAAACGUUCCGCACGGCAGUUUUUGCGAAUUAAAAGCCAUUACUUGAAGAAGGGUGUCCAGGAUCCAUCUGGCCGCGGAAAGGUCUCCGCAACACAGACUAAGGACCUGCUUCUUUGGGAGAGAACAGACACCGGGGCGGGAGGAAAAAAGGGAGAGGCAGACGUCACUUCCCCUUGCCGGCUCCUGCAGCGGAUUGGUCGGCUGAGUGACAGAAAGGCAGACGAGGACUCGGAAAGGCACUGUCGGUGACAUCACGGGUAGGGCGACCUUCUAUGUAGAUGAGGUAGCGCAGGGACUGCUGCUUGGCCACCUGCUGCUUCGCCACGAAGGAGUUUCCAUGCCCUGGAGCGGGUUGAGGACCGCUGGUCGGACCUGAGAAUCCCAGCUGUGUGUCAGGGCUAGAAGGGCUCGGGAGUGCGCGUGGCAAGUGACCGUGAGUGAAAGAGUGACCCGUAUGAGGCUGUGGCGGGGCGGAGGUGUAGGAAGUCAUACUUACCUGGCAGGGGAGAUACCAUGAUCACGAAGGUGGUUUUCCCAGGGCGAGGCUUAUCCAUUGCACUCCGGAUGUGCUGACCCCUGCGAUUUCCCCAAAUGUGGGAAACUCGACUGCAUAAUUUGUGGUAGUGGGGGACUGCGUUCGCGCUUUCCCCUGGC